GCUAAAUAGUGUUUACUUCUCUUUUGAGUAAACAUUUCUUCUUAGAGGGACUGGCAACUCUUAGUUGCACGAGAUUGAGCAAUAACAGGUCUGUGAUGCCCUUAGAUGUUCUGGGCCGCACACGCGCUACACUGAAUAGAUCAGCGUGUCACCCUUCCCGAAAGGGACGGGUAAACCGCUGAACCCUAUUCGUGGUAGGGAUUGGGGCUUGCAAUUAUUCCCCAUGAACCAGGAAUUCCCAGUAGGCGCAAGUCAUCAGCUUGCGUCGAUUACGUCCCUGCCCUUUGUACACACCGCCCGUCGCUACUACCGAUUGAACGUUUUAGUGAGGUCCUCGGACUGUGAUCCUGGCGGGCAACUGCCUGGUUUGCGGAAAGACGACCAAACUGUAGCGUUUAGAGGAAGUAAAAGUCGUAACAAGGUAUC
RNAcentral lists this ribosomal RNA (426 nucleotides) under Bestiolina similis. RNAcentral describes it as "bacterial SSU rRNA". It matches the Rfam family "Eukaryotic small subunit ribosomal RNA", at positions 1350 to 1803 of the family's 1831-position model. Lineage: Eukaryota; Metazoa; Arthropoda; Copepoda; Calanoida; Paracalanidae. The record is from RNAcentral.